UGGUCCCAGCCUUGAAGUCAAUCCUUACUUAAUAUACACAUGCAAGUCUCCGCCCCCCUGUGAAAACGCCCUUAACCCCUCUAAGGGGCCAGGAGCUGGUAUCAGGCGCAAAGAUUAGCCCAAGACACCUAGCUAUGCCACACCCACAAGGGAUCUCAGCAGUGAUUAACAUUGAAAAUAAGCGACAGCUUGAAUCAGUUAAAGUAAAAAGAGCCGGCAAAUCUGGUGCCAGCCGCCGCGGUUACACCACGUGGCUCAAAUUGACCUCUUCCGGCGUAAAGCGUGAUUAAAGUGAACUUCAUAACUGCAAUUAAAUUAAGGUUAGGCUGUGACACGCGUACCCCCAAGAAGCCCAAGAACGAAAGUCAUUGCAACUAACUUGAACUCACGACAGUUAAGACACAAACUGGGAUUAGAUACCCCACUAUGCCUAACUGUAAACCCUUAAUUACAUCCCAUAUCGCCAGGGAACUACGAGCAAAGCUUAAAACCCAAGGGACUUGACGGUACCCCACAUCCACCUAGAGGAGCCUGUCCUAUAAUCGAUAACCCCCGCUUUACCUCACCAUUUUUAGCUUAUCAGCCUGUAUACCUCCGUCGUCAGCUUACCUCGUGAGCGCCAAUUAGUGAGCUCAAUGCCCAUACACCAAUACGUCAGGUCAAGGUGCAGCACAUGAAAUGGAAAGAGAUGGGCUACACUAUCUAAACUAGAUGAUACGAAAAACUACUUAUGAAACCUAGUCAGAAGGCGGAUUUAGAAGUAAGAAGGGACCAAAAUGCCCUCCUUAACCCGGCACUGGGGUGUGUACACACCGCCCGUCACCCUCUUCAAAGCCCUCACCCUCACAGUUAAUAACACAACUAGGCAUUUCAGAAGAGGCAAGUCGUAACAUGGUAAGUAUACCGGAAGGUGUGCUUGGUAA
RNAcentral lists this non-coding RNA (923 nucleotides) under Dendropsophus decipiens. Its description in RNAcentral is "partial 12S ribosomal RNA". It matches the Rfam family "Bacterial small subunit ribosomal RNA". The record is from RNAcentral. Lineage: Eukaryota; Metazoa; Chordata; Amphibia; Anura; Hylidae.